This 699-nucleotide long non-coding RNA is filed under the name Malus domestica (apple). Its description in RNAcentral is "long non-coding RNA (MDOM_LNC013660)". Lineage: Eukaryota; Viridiplantae; Streptophyta; Magnoliopsida; Rosales; Rosaceae. The record is from RNAcentral.
UCUGGCCUUGACAAGUGUCAUGCUGUGAUUGGCCUUUGAUGUUAACACGUGUCGCCUUGUGAUUGGCCUCUUGGUGUUGACACGUGUUGUACUGUGAUUGGCCUCCUGGUUGGAGGAAAACUCUUCUGAGUCCUUAACGGUAUAACGUUGAUGUGUAAAAUAAGUUAACACACAAAAUUAAACCCUCUUUUUAUCAAUUGUAGUAAAGUAUGUAAGUAGGGAUCGUUCUAGGCCGGGGAUUAGGAGGGAUUGCUAAAUCACUUGGAAACUAACUUGAAAACGUGAAAACAAAGUUUAAAACACUAACUAGACUCAAAGAAUGCAAAACUAUACUUUAAAAUACUUAAACAAACAUAAAACUCAAAACAGCAACUAAUGACUCAAAACUGCCUAAAAACCACUUUCUGGGCAGUUUUGAGAACCUAACAAGAACUUGGACGAAGUUGGAUGAAAACUUGAAUCAAAACACUUAGAAACACAAAUCAAAACACUUUCUAACUAAUCUAAGACUUCAAAAUAAAGGGGGAUUUGUUUUGGAUGAAAAUUGAAAACAAAACAGAAACUUUAAAACAAAACAGAUUGUAAAACGUUUUUGGAUGAAAAUGAUGGAUAAAAGGCUAGUUAGGAGGUUCUUCUCCACGCAUGACACACUUGCAAACAAAAUGAUUUUCAGUUGUUUUUUCAAUAAAUUAUGAAACU